UACGAAGGGGGCUAGCGUUGCUCGGAAUCACUGGGCGUAAAGCGCACGUAGGCGGCUUUCUAAGUCAGAGGUGAAAUCCUGGAGCUCAACUCCAGAACUGCCUUUGAUACUGGGGAGCUCGAGUCCGGAAGAGGUUAGUGGAACUGCGAGUGUAGAGGUGAAAUUCGUAGAUAUUCGCAAGAACACCAGUGGCGAAGGCGGCUAACUGGUCCGGUACUGACGCUGAGGUGCGAAAGCGUGGGGAGCAAACAGG
RNAcentral lists this ribosomal RNA (253 nucleotides) under uncultured bacterium. RNAcentral's name for it is "partial 16S ribosomal RNA". It matches the Rfam family "Bacterial small subunit ribosomal RNA", at positions 524 to 776 of the family's 1533-position model. The record is from RNAcentral.